RNAcentral lists this long non-coding RNA (1611 nucleotides) under Heterocephalus glaber (naked mole-rat). RNAcentral's name for it is "lncRNA (ENSHGLG00100049826.1)". Lineage: Eukaryota; Metazoa; Chordata; Mammalia; Rodentia; Bathyergidae. The record is from RNAcentral.
CUUUCAUCAUAAAAAUACUGUAGCACCUUUUCUCAAGAGGCCAGCUCCGGAGUUAACCUGCUUGGAUUCAGAACUGGCUGCACUUCUAACUGUAUGUAACUUGGGUAAGGUACCUUAUCUCUACGUCCCUUUGUGUCCUUAUUCAUUAGAUGGGGAUAAUAAAUGGUGUCAUACAGUUUUUUGUAUGAUUAAGUUAACUGAAAGUACCUAAAAUACUGCCUGGCAUACAAUGCAUUAAAAAUUAACAUUUUAUUACUAGUGUGGUUGCUAUUACUUAACUAUUCUAACCAGGUUUUAGUCUUGUUUAAUAACAGCAGAAAGUAUAAAACGAAAAAAAUCUAAUGAAAGGCAAACCAGUUGUUUUUUAACUAAGAUUCUCUUUUACAGACUGUCGAGUUUUUGGAAGGUAAGAGCUGAGAAUACUUUCUUUAGGACCUGUCAGGUUAGUUUGUUUUUCCUCUACGAUUUUAAAUCUGAUGCCCUGUCAUAUUAAAAAAGCAGAAUAGGCAGAAGUGAUUUUCUUUUUAUCUCCUGUCAAAAAUGGUUUUUUUUCCAAGUUAAUUUAAUUCCUUUAAUUCAAAUAUGUUUGAAUUCAUUUUAUGCCCUUUAAGUGAAACAUUUUAAGCACUUGCCCAACCUCCCUAUUAACUGUCCAAAAUGUUUCUAGAUUCCUUUAAAGCAAAUGUCUCUCUAUAAACAAAAAGUAGUAAGUUCAAAGUUGGUUGCAUUUGCUUUACAGGUUUCCCUGAUCCUAGCUGGACCCUGUCAUCAUGUGAAGUCUGAGCAAACUUCCUGUGUCUGGGAGUGCAUCAGAAGUGAAACUUGUGCUUCAUACUAAGAAAUCUCUUGAGAAUGGCUGGGUCUUGGCUCUUUGAUCUCACCUCUACCUCAUGGAAAGAGAAGAGCUUCUAAAAAAUGUGUUAGGUGGAUGAAUCACACCAAUACCUCCCAGAAGCCACCUGGUCACUUCACUGACUUAGUCAGAUGUCACAGUCACAUAACCCUAUGGGGAUCGGGCAAGUGUCCACCUCUUAAAACCCUUUAUCCACAACUUUAAUCACCUUUGAUAUUCAUUACAUUUGACUUGCUGCUCUUACUCUUUUUGGACAUAACCAAUGCUUGAUGCUAAGACACGAUGUGGCUGUUUACUUCAAAAAGGAAGGGAAAAAGGAAAAGGCUUUCUUUAAAAUUUCAUUUUGAGGGCCAGGGAUUUAGCUCAGUGGUUCCACCGCCUGCCUCACAAGCACAAAGUCCCGAGUUCGAUCCCUGGUACCAAAAAAGAUUUUCAUUGUGAAACAAGGUCUCUGGUUAGUUGCCUAGACUGGGCUUGAACCUGCAGUCCUCCUCUUGAGUAGCUGAGAUUGCAGGCAUAUGCCACUGUGCCUGCCAAAGGAUAUUAAAAAAAAAGUUUACUUAUGCAGAAAAUUUUGAGGAAAUAUUAAUUUGUAAGGAAAAAAGCAGGAUAAAAGUAUCCAGAAGCUCUUGACCCCGAAUCUGUUAAUGUUUGCACUCAUCUGUUCAUCACAGGAAGAUACAUAGGAUCUUCAGCAAGGAAUACACACUAGGGAAAAAGCUUGAUAUUGCACAGAUAGAGGGCUUCAUGAAUGGUGG